Molecule: non-coding RNA, 114 nt
Organism: Acanthosepion pharaonis
Lineage: Eukaryota; Metazoa; Mollusca; Cephalopoda; Sepiida; Sepiidae
Source: the annotation of a GenBank genome assembly
UUACGUCAAUAUCACGUUGAAACCACGAUUCCCGUACGACCACCAAAGUUAAGCAAGAUCGAGCAUCGUCAGUACCUAGAUGGGGGAUCGCUUGAGAAUACCAGCUACUGUAAG